Molecule: ribosomal RNA, 253 nt
Filed under: uncultured bacterium
Lineage: Bacteria
Description: partial 16S ribosomal RNA
Rfam family: Bacterial small subunit ribosomal RNA
Source: RNAcentral
UACGUAGGGGGCAAGCGUUGUCCGGAAUCAUUGGGCGUAAAGCGCGUGUAGGCGGUCCGGUAAGUCCGCUGUGAAAGUCGGGGGCUUAACCCUCGGAUGCCGGUGGAUACUGUCGGGCUUGAGUACGGAAGAGGCGAGUGGAAUUCCUGGUGUAGCGGUGAAAUGCGCAGAUAUCAGGAGGAACACCAAUGGCGAAGGCAGCUCGCUGGGACGGUACUGACGCUGAGGCGCGAAAGCGUGGGGAGCAAACAGG